This 24-nucleotide microRNA is filed under the name Sorghum bicolor (sorghum). RNAcentral's name for it is "sbi-miR5565d". The record is from miRBase by way of RNAcentral. Lineage: Eukaryota; Viridiplantae; Streptophyta; Magnoliopsida; Poales; Poaceae.
ACUUCAAUCCAUGUAUGUUGGUGU